RNAcentral lists this ribosomal RNA (468 nucleotides) under uncultured Alphaproteobacteria bacterium. Its description in RNAcentral is "bacterial SSU rRNA". It matches the Rfam family "Bacterial small subunit ribosomal RNA", at positions 9 to 523 of the family's 1533-position model. The record is from RNAcentral. Lineage: Bacteria; Pseudomonadati; Pseudomonadota; Alphaproteobacteria.
GAGUUUGAUCAUGGCUCAGAACGAACGCUGGCGGCAGGCCUAACACAUGCAAGUCGAGCGAGACCUUCGGGUCUAGCGGCGGACGGGUGAGUAACGCGUGGGAAUAUGCCCUUUGGUACGGAAUAGCCUCGGGAAACUGGGAGUAAUACCGUAUGUGCCCUUCGGGGGAAAGAUUUAUCGCCAAAGGAUUAGCCCGCGUUGGAUUAGGUAGUUGGUGGGGUAAUGGCCUACCAAGCCUACGAUCCAUAGCUGGUUUGAGAGGAUGAUCAGCCACACUGGGACUGAGACACGGCCCAGACUCCUACGGGAGGCAGCAGUGGGGAAUCUUAGACAAUGGGGGCAACCCUGAUCUAGCCAUGCCGCGUGAUCGAUGAAGGCCUUAGGGUUGUAAAGAUCUUUCAGCUGGGAAGAUAAUGACGGUACCAGCAGAAGAAGCCCCGGCUAACUCCGUGCCAGCAGCCGCGGUCA